Molecule: ribosomal RNA, 783 nt
Filed under: Microbacterium sp.
Lineage: Bacteria; Bacillati; Actinomycetota; Actinomycetes; Micrococcales; Microbacteriaceae
Description: bacterial SSU rRNA
Rfam family: Bacterial small subunit ribosomal RNA
Source: RNAcentral
UGCAGUCGAACGGUGGAGCCCAGCUUGCUGGGUGGAUCAGUGGCGAACGGGUGAGUAACACGUGAGCAAUCUGCCCCUGACUCUGGGAUAAGCGCUGGAAACGGCGUCUAAUACUGGAUAUGAGCUGCGAUCGCAUGGUCAGUAGCUGGAAAGAUUUUUUGGUCAGGGAUGAGCUCGCGGCCUAUCAGCUUGUUGGUGAGGUAAUGGCUCACCAAGGCGUCGACGGGUAGCCGGCCUGAGAGGGUGACCGGCCACACUGGGACUGAGACACGGCCCAGACUCCUACGGGAGGCAGCAGUGGGGAAUAUUGCACAAUGGGCGCAAGCCUGAUGCAGCAACGCCGCGUGAGGGAUGACGGCCUUCGGGUUGUAAACCUCUUUUAGCAGGGAAGAAGCGAAAGUGACGGUACCUGCAGAAAAAGCGCCGGCUAACUACGUGCCAGCAGCCGCGGUAAUACGUAGGGCGCAAGCGUUAUCCGGAAUUAUUGGGCGUAAAGAGCUCGUAGGCGGUUUGUCGCGUCUGCUGUGAAAUCCCGAGGCUCAACCUCGGGUCUGCAGUGGGUACGGGCAGACUAGAGUGCGGUAGGGGGAGAUUGGAAUUCCUGGUGUAGCGGUGGAAUGCGCAGAUAUCAGAGAGGAACACCGAUGGCGAACGCAGAUCUCUGGGCCGUAACUGACGCUGAGGAGCGAAAGGGUGGGGAGCAAACAGGCUUAGAUACCCUGGUAGUCCACCCCGUAACGUUGGGAACUAGUUGUGGGGUCCAUUCCACGGAUCCGUGACGCA